CUUACCUGAGCAUCCAUCAUAUAUAUAGCAAAUUGAGUUGCAUGUGAUUAAUUGAUUACACAAUAAGCUAUCGGUGUACCUCUAUAUAUAUACAUAUUCCUCUAUUAGAACUUUUCACAAACACCUCUCAACUCUCAAGCAACAGCAGUUACCAGCAACAGUAAGGACUUUCAAAUCUCACUUGCGAAGCGUCAAGCUGCAAGCUAUUAGCUGACCAUCAUCACUCAUCAUGGGAGCUGGAGAUUUUUCUACAGAUUUAGAUUCAAAUUCCAGCUCAUCGAAUUCGAUUAUAAUACGCGAAGUCUGGGCGUCUAAUUUGGAAUCCAAAUUCGAACUCAUUAGCCAAGUCAUCGAUCAAUUUAAAUCAUCGUCAAUUCCCCAUUCUCUAAUUCCAAGCAUACCCAUUACCAAAUAACUGGAAAAAAAAAUGAAGCUUUUGUAAAAAAAACCUCACCUUAGAUCAAUAGAAAGGCUGUAAUCGAAGUGGGGUCUUCAAGAGUUGAUGAAAAUCGACUGAGAGAUUCGUGACAGCACUUUUGUUGACAGAGAUUGUGGAAGAUAGAGUGAGAGAUUGCGGAAGAUAGAGUGAGGUCAGUGAGAGUUAACAGUUCUAAUGAACUGGGGAGUGAUGAAUGCGAGAUUAUGGAAGUGAAAAUAAUAGAAUUAAUUUAUUUUAUUUUAUUUUAUUUAUUUUCCACUCACAGCUCACCUUGUAUUUAUCUAACCCAUGGAUAAACCAUACCCAAACCAUUAUGAAAUUGUUUUUUUUAUAAAAACCCAAACCAACCCAUUUUAAUAAUUUAUCCAACCCAAACUAUUUUAUUUGGUUUGAGUUUGGUUAAACCCAUGGGUUGUGGGUUUAUGCCCACCCCUAAAUGUCGUUGUAAUUAAAUGAAUUUGCAAUUGUUG
Molecule: long non-coding RNA, 909 nt
Filed under: Citrus sinensis (sweet orange)
Lineage: Eukaryota; Viridiplantae; Streptophyta; Magnoliopsida; Sapindales; Rutaceae
Description: long non-coding RNA (CSIN_LNC004530)
Source: RNAcentral